GGGGAUUUAGCUCAGUGGAAGAGCGCUUGCCUAGCAAGCGCAAGGCCCUGGGUUCAGUCCCCA
This is a non-coding RNA of Rattus norvegicus (Norway rat), 63 nucleotides long. The record is from Rfam. NCBI's taxonomy places the organism in Eukaryota, Metazoa, Chordata, Mammalia, Rodentia, Muridae.